This 1329-nucleotide long non-coding RNA is filed under the name Androctonus crassicauda. The record is from RNAcentral. Lineage: Eukaryota; Metazoa; Arthropoda; Arachnida; Scorpiones; Buthidae.
GCACAUGUUAAAGUAAUUUUAGUAAUUAAAUAAUAAAUAUAUAUAUAUAUAUGAGUGUGUGUGUGUGUAUACUUGUCAUCUGAACAAACUUGUUGUACUACAACAAAGUUGUAAAUGGUUAUAUGACAUGAUUCUGAAACUUCCAAUAAAGAAUUACAAGAGAACGUGUGAAUCUUGUGCAACCGAGUCUCAAGAGAGAGAGAGAAAGCUGUUCUGUCGCAUGCAACUGUUAUAACGUUUCUAAAUCAGCAGGAAAGUUUCUCGACACGCUAAAUAAUCAUGCAAAUCAGUUAAAGAGGUACAGUUGUUUGUUAUAUACAAAUUGCGUGUAAAGUGAUCUUUAAACUGCUUAUUUGACAAAUGUUGGAGUGUUAAAAGGAAAGGACGAGACGGACGAACGAACAAACGAACGAACGAAUCAUUCCGUGUAAUCUACCGAAAAGCUAACCGAAGUUAAAAAUUUCUUGAAAACAAAUUAAUUUGUAAAUUUUGACGCUGAUGUUUUUAUCGUAUAACUCUUUAUUCUUUUGUUUUAAGGAAAAUAUAAAAUAUUCAGAUCUUGGACCACCUCAGGAGAUUUCGGCGUCGGCUUUACGGCAUCGAGAAGCUCCUGUAUAUUAUACAGAAUGGGAAAGUCAGAGGCGACCUUCACCUAGGGGAAGAGACAGAAUGGAGGCUUAUGAAGAACAUUUGGGGACUCCCUUGAUGACUCGCGUGUUUCGGAGUUCCGAAAUAAAUUAUCUGCCUUCCAAUGAAAGGCGAACUUUGUCGACACCGGUAUGAGAAGCGAACAACGACAAUGAAUAGACUUAUCCGAAGACCAAUGUAAUCGUGUGUUAAUCAUCACAAUCCAAGUGGAUCGUAAAUUAUGAUCAUCCACUGACUCCAUAACUGAGAAUUUGUGUGAUUACAGGAUCUUGUUUGGAUAUAUUAAUAUAUUGUAUAUAGGAUUGAACGUCUGAGAUUUAAAUAUUGUAAUUUAGUAUAUUUUAAAUUAGUCGAUCAUUCGUCUGAUGGGAUGUUUUAAUUUUUUUCAAAAUCGAUUCGUAUAACGUGCCAAAUCCGAAUAUUUCAGUUGUUUUCCACCAAAAAAAAAAAAAAAAAAAACACUUCAAAAAAUAUUUUAAGAAUUCUCAUGUCACUGGAGCAAUAUAGAAACGAUGACAAACAACAACAACAACAAAAAAAUAAUAAUAUUAUUAUUAUAAUAAUUCCUGUUAGAUCAUCUUGUAGAUAGCUUCCAAAAAAAACAUACGUAAAUCGAAUUCAACCAAAAAAAAAAAAAAGUUAUUUCUAUAUAAAUUUGCUUCUUGCACACACACACACACG